RNAcentral lists this ribosomal RNA (253 nucleotides) under uncultured bacterium. RNAcentral describes it as "partial 16S ribosomal RNA". It matches the Rfam family "Bacterial small subunit ribosomal RNA", at positions 524 to 776 of the family's 1533-position model. The record is from RNAcentral.
GACGGAGGAUGCAAGUGUUAUCCGGAAUCACUGGGCGUAAAGCGUCUGUAGGUGGUUUAAUAAGUCAACUGUUAAAUCUUGAGGCUCAACCUCAAAAUCGCAGUCGAAACUAUUAGGCUAGAGUAUAGUAGGGGUAAAGGGAAUUUCCAGUGGAGCGGUGAAAUGCGUAGAGAUUGGAAAGAACACCGAUGGCGAAGGCACUCUACUGGGCUAUUACUAACACUCAGAGACGAAAGCUAGGGUAGCAAAUGGG